AGAUCGGGAUAACACCUGGAAACAGAUGCUAAUACCGGAUAAUAACAGAUGAUGCCUAUCAACUGUUUAAAAGAUGGUUCUGCUAUCACUCUUGGAUGGACCUGCGGUGCAUUAGCUAGUUGGUAGGGUAACGGCCUACCAAGGCGAUGAUGCAUAGCCGAGUUGAGAGACUGAUCGGCCACAUUGGGACUGAGACACGGCCCAAACUCCUACGGGAGGCAGCAGGA
RNAcentral lists this ribosomal RNA (227 nucleotides) under uncultured Lactobacillus sp. RNAcentral's name for it is "partial 16S ribosomal RNA". It matches the Rfam family "Bacterial small subunit ribosomal RNA", at positions 135 to 354 of the family's 1533-position model. The record is from RNAcentral. Lineage: Bacteria; Bacillati; Bacillota; Bacilli; Lactobacillales; Lactobacillaceae.